RNAcentral lists this small nucleolar RNA (97 nucleotides) under Taphrina deformans PYCC 5710. RNAcentral describes it as "Small nucleolar RNA Z13/snr52". It matches the Rfam family "Small nucleolar RNA Z13/snr52". From Rfam's summary of the family: Z13 or snr52 is a member of the C/D class of snoRNA which contain the C (UGAUGA) and D (CUGA) box motifs. Most of the members of the box C/D family function in directing site-specific 2'-O-methylation of substrate RNAs. The record is from Rfam by way of RNAcentral. Lineage: Eukaryota; Fungi; Ascomycota; Taphrinomycetes; Taphrinales; Taphrinaceae.
AAGAGUUCUAUGACGAAAUAUCCCGGAUGCUAAAGCAAAUAUCACCGAGAGCGCAAAACCGUGUGGAGAUUUCCGUUGCCUUCCUUCUGAGGACUCU